RNAcentral lists this long non-coding RNA (258 nucleotides) under Gossypium barbadense (sea-island cotton). RNAcentral's name for it is "long non-coding RNA (GBAR_LNC017675)". Lineage: Eukaryota; Viridiplantae; Streptophyta; Magnoliopsida; Malvales; Malvaceae. The record is from RNAcentral.
UGGAAUUCUAUGUCGAGUUCCCUGAGCCUGAUAGAACUGGUCCAUCUUUGACCACUAGUGUGGCUAAUACGAGAAUCGAAGUAUAAACAAAAAGUCCUACUACACGAUUGUGCGGUGGGUUCUCUGGUUUGUUAUAAAGCUCCUAUUAUGAUGUCCCUCAAGCAUCAAUGGGUAAACAUUCUUCGAUUUUAGGUAUCGAUUGCAACUUCGAAAACUGUUAGUCGAGGUAUGAGUGUUACCUGAAUCUCAACACUCGUG